RNAcentral lists this long non-coding RNA (418 nucleotides) under Phascolarctos cinereus (koala). RNAcentral's name for it is "lncRNA (ENSPCIG00000003931.2)". Lineage: Eukaryota; Metazoa; Chordata; Mammalia; Diprotodontia; Phascolarctidae. The record is from RNAcentral.
GCUCAUCUAAUCCAGAGGCAGGAAAGAAGGGUAGUGGUGCAUUGUACCCAUCCACAUGGAUCAAUAACCUAGUUAGGAGCCAACAUGUCCUUGCCUGUGAUCUUUAACUAUCUGGUAUUAUGAUUUGAACACUAUUGAGGAAAGAAUUGUGGAUGAGGCAGCAGUGAAUUACCCAAGACUUUCUGGAUGCUCUCCUGCUUCCAGAUACAUUGGCUUCCCCAGAUGGGGUCCAUGCCACAAAACCUUAAGGCCGGUUGAGAAGAAGUUUGGUUGAGCACUAUUUAUCCACAGAUCUCCAGCCAGAGUAUUCCAUAAGCCCCUUGAGGGCAUGGACUACAUCUUUUACUAUGGUCCCCACAGUUUUCUUGCACAGAUUUGUGUACACAGUGGAUACUUAAUAAAUACUUAUUGACUUACA